Molecule: ribosomal RNA, 253 nt
Filed under: uncultured bacterium
Lineage: Bacteria
Description: partial 16S ribosomal RNA
Rfam family: Bacterial small subunit ribosomal RNA
Source: RNAcentral
UACAGGGGGUGCAAACGUUGCUCGGAAUUAUUGGGCGUAAAGCGCGCGUAGGCGGCCCUGUAAGUCCGUUGUGAAAGUCAAAGGCUCAACCUUUGAAAGCCGAUGGAUACUGCAGGGCUAGAGUCCGGAAGAGGCGAGUGGAAUUCCUGGUGUAGCGGUGGAAUGCGCAGAUAUCAGGAGGAACACCAAUAGCGAAGGCAGCUCGCUGGGACGGUACUGACGCUAAGGCGCGAAAGCGUGGGGAGCGAACAGG